RNAcentral lists this ribosomal RNA (701 nucleotides) under Klebsiella variicola. RNAcentral describes it as "bacterial LSU rRNA". It matches the Rfam family "Bacterial large subunit ribosomal RNA", at positions 2242 to 2925 of the family's 2925-position model. The record is from RNAcentral. RNAcentral also lists the same sequence under 1 other name. Lineage: Bacteria; Pseudomonadati; Pseudomonadota; Gammaproteobacteria; Enterobacterales; Enterobacteriaceae.
GGGUUGCGGACAGUGUCUGGUGGGUAGUUUGACUGGGGCGGUCUCCUCCCAAAGAGUAACGGAGGAGCACGAAGGUUAGCUAAUCCUGGUCGGACAUCAGGAGGUUAGUGCAAUGGCAUAAGCUAGCUUGACUGCGAGCGUGACGGCGCGAGCAGGUGCGAAAGCAGGUCAUAGUGAUCCGGUGGUUCUGAAUGGAAGGGCCAUCGCUCAACGGAUAAAAGGUACUCCGGGGAUAACAGGCUGAUACCGCCCAAGAGUUCAUAUCGACGGCGGUGUUUGGCACCUCGAUGUCGGCUCAUCACAUCCUGGGGCUGAAGUAGGUCCCAAGGGUAUGGCUGUUCGCCAUUUAAAGUGGUACGCGAGCUGGGUUUAGAACGUCGUGAGACAGUUCGGUCCCUAUCUGCCGUGGGCGCUGGAGAAUUGAGGGGGGCUGCUCCUAGUACGAGAGGACCGGAGUGGACGCAUCACUGGUGUUCGGGUUGUCAUGCCAAUGGCACUGCCCGGUAGCUAAAUGCGGAAGAGAUAAGUGCUGAAAGCAUCUAAGCACGAAACUUGCCCCGAGAUGAGUUCUCCCUGAGACUUUAAGUCUCCUGAAGGAACGUUGAAGACGACGACGUUGAUAGGCCGGGUGUGUAAGCGCAGCGAUGCGUUGAGCUAACCGGUACUAAUGAACCGUGAGGCUUAACCUUACAACGCCGAAG